This 72-nucleotide transfer RNA is filed under the name Camelus bactrianus (Bactrian camel). It matches the Rfam family "tRNA". Rfam says of the family: Transfer RNA (tRNA) molecules are approximately 80 nucleotides in length. Their secondary structure includes four short double-helical elements and three loops (D, anti-codon, and T loops). Further hydrogen bonds mediate the characteristic L-shaped molecular structure. tRNAs have two regions of fundamental functional importance: the anti-codon, which is responsible for specific mRNA codon recognition, and the 3' end, to which the tRNAs corresponding amino acid is attached (by aminoacyl-tRNA synthetases). tRNAs cope with the degeneracy of the genetic code in two manners: having more than one tRNA (with a specific anti-codon) for a particular amino acid; and 'wobble' base-pairing, i.e. permitting non-standard base-pairing at the 3rd anti-codon position. Lineage: Eukaryota; Metazoa; Chordata; Mammalia; Artiodactyla; Camelidae. RNAcentral also lists the same sequence under 3 other names. The record is from Rfam by way of RNAcentral.
GGGGUUAUAGCUCAGUGGUAGGGCAUGUGCUUGGUGUACAUGAGGUCCUGGGUCCAAUUCCCAGUGCCUCUG